This 371-nucleotide ribosomal RNA is filed under the name uncultured bacterium. RNAcentral describes it as "bacterial SSU rRNA". It matches the Rfam family "Bacterial small subunit ribosomal RNA", at positions 527 to 896 of the family's 1533-position model. The record is from RNAcentral.
GUAGGUGGCAAGCGUUGUCCGGAUUUACUGGGCGUAAAGAGCGCGCAGGCGGUCGGAUCAGUCGAAUGUGAAAGCCCCCGGCUCAACUGGGGAGGGUCAUUCGAUACUGUCCGACUCGAAGGCAGGAGAGGGAAGCGGAAUUCCCGGUGUAGUGGUGAAAUGCGUAGAUAUCGGGAGGAACACCAGUGGCGAAGGCGGCCUUCUGGCCUGUUCUUGACGCUGGGGCGCGAAAGCUAGGGGAGCGAACGGGAUUAGAUACCCCGGUAGUCCUAGCCGUAAACGAUGGACACUAGGUGUUGGUGGUAUCAACCCCACCAGUGCCGUAGCUAACGCAUUAAGUGUCCCGCCUGGGGAGUACGGCCGCAAGGCUA